RNAcentral lists this ribosomal RNA (242 nucleotides) under uncultured bacterium. Its description in RNAcentral is "partial 16S ribosomal RNA". It matches the Rfam family "Bacterial small subunit ribosomal RNA", at positions 15 to 253 of the family's 1533-position model. The record is from RNAcentral.
GUUCCUGGCUCAGGAUGAACGCUAGCGACAGGCUUAACACAUGCAAGUCGAGGGGCAGCACAGGUAGCAAUACCGGGUGGCGACCGGCGCACGGGUGAGUAACGCGUAUGCAACUUACCUAUCAGAGGGGGAUAACCCGGCGAAAGUCGGACUAAUACCGCAUGAAGCAGGGGCCCCGCAUGGGGAUAUUUGCUAAAGAUUUAUCGCUGAUAGAUAGGCAUGCGUUCCAUUAGGCAGUUGGG